UCUCCGUAGGUGAACCUGCGGAGGGAUCAUUACUGAGUGAGGGCUCACGCCCGACCUCCAACCCUUUGUGAACACAUCUUGUUGCUUCGGGGGCGACCCUGCCGUUCGCGGCGUGGGGCCCCCGGAGCCCAUCAAACCCUGCGUAACUAAGUCGUCGGAGUUUAAACAAAUUAAACAAAACUUUCAACAACGGAUCUCUUGGCUCUCGCAUCGAUGAAGAACGAAGC
Molecule: unclassified non-coding RNA, 227 nt
Filed under: uncultured fungus
Lineage: Eukaryota; Fungi
Description: sequence contains ITS1, 5.8S rRNA gene
Rfam family: 5.8S ribosomal RNA (bases 179-227)
Source: RNAcentral